AACGCACAUUGCGCCCCUUGGUAUUCCGGGGGGCAUGCCUGUCCGAGCGUCAUUUCAACCCUCAAGCUCCGCUUGGUCUUGAGCCCCGCGCCAGCGAUGGCGGGCUCUAAAAUCAGCGGCGGCGCCGCCUGGGUCCUGAGCGUGGUAACAUCCUCUCUCGCUACAGGGCCUCGGGCGCGCGCCUGCCCCACCCCCCACCAUUCUUCCAUGGUUGACCUCGGAUCAGGUAGGGAUACCCGCUGAACUUAA
RNAcentral lists this unclassified non-coding RNA (249 nucleotides) under uncultured fungus. RNAcentral's name for it is "sequence contains ITS2". Lineage: Eukaryota; Fungi. The record is from RNAcentral.